CAGCUUGCUGAUCUGUUUUCUUGCAGGUUCUGGAUGGAUGUUUUAUUUUGUAAUAUUCAUUCAAACAGCCAUUAACACUGGAAUUAGCAUAGGAGCACUUUUGCUUGCUGGAGAAUGCAUCCAGAUCGUGUACUCGAACCUUUCACCCUAUGGGUCGUUGAAGUUGUAUGACAUCAUAGCAAUAGUAACGGGAGUCCAGAUAGUUCUCUCGCAGUUUCCAUCCUUCCACUCCCUCAGGCAUAUCAACCUGGUUUCGCUAUUCCUGAGCUUGGGCUACACUUUCCUUGUAGUUGGUGCUUGCAUUCGUGCUGGUAAAUCC
This is a long non-coding RNA of Ipomoea nil (Japanese morning glory), 319 nucleotides long. RefSeq lists it as uncharacterized. The transcript is spliced from 2 exons. The record is from RefSeq and is a predicted model, not a curated record. Lineage: Eukaryota; Viridiplantae; Streptophyta; Magnoliopsida; Solanales; Convolvulaceae.